Molecule: long non-coding RNA, 220 nt
Organism: Zingiber officinale
Lineage: Eukaryota; Viridiplantae; Streptophyta; Magnoliopsida; Zingiberales; Zingiberaceae
Exons: 3
Source: RefSeq, a predicted model, not a curated record
GCUGAUCUAGAGCAACUACUGCCGUGCUUCUACUUUGUGUGUCGCCGGGAGUCGAGAGCUCGAGAAGGCGACAGAGGGCAGCAGUGAUUCGGCAGUGGGAUUUAAGAUUCAUUUCGCUGGUAGUGUAUCGGGGUUCCACAGCAGCUGUGAUUUUUCCGGCCAUAAUUUUCAGCAACAUCCUUGCUGUGAGAAGUGAGGACUUGACGCGAGACGAGUAUCU